Non-coding RNA from Paramuricea clavata, 502 nucleotides. NCBI's taxonomy places the organism in Eukaryota, Metazoa, Cnidaria, Anthozoa, Malacalcyonacea, Plexauridae. The record is from the annotation of a GenBank genome assembly.
UGAGGCUCUGGGGUAAUCCGUUUCAGCUCUGGGAUAAUCCGUUUCAGGGAGGAAUCUGAUUGGCCGUUGAAAUGGAAUGCACAGAUCAAUCUUAGCCAGGAUUCCUGGCUUCCGGCAACGGAUUAUCCCAGAGCCUGGCCUCGCGUUCCUUCCCGAGGAUCGCAGGCUCGGUGAACGAGAUUGACCCACCCAGGGGCGCCGGAGCCACGGGGGCAGCGGGGGCAACUGCCCCCGUUGCCGAAACUGUGCGGGGGCGGCACGGGGGCAACAGGUUGCCCUUUUUCACCAGAACUGCGCUUCGAAAUUUGUGCGGUAUUCACAUGAAUUGGAAUUUAUAACUAUUUUUAAGCAAUGUUUAAGCAAUCUUUGCUUAAUUUUAACCAGUGAUAGUAAAAUUAAUGCCAGAGGCCGCGGAAUCACUUUUGUAUAUUACGAAAGCGGUCACCGAACUGUGGAAUCGCAUCAAAAAUUCGUAUAUCGACCACUCCAACAAACGUCUACG